CACGUAGGGCGCGAGCGUUGUCCGGAAUUAUUGGGCGUAAAGAGCUCGUAGGCGGCCUGUUGCGUCCGCUGUGAAAGCCCGGGGCUUAACCCCGGGUCUGCAGUGGAUACGGGCAGGCUAGAGGUAGGUAGGGGAGAAUGGAAUUCCCGGUGUAGCGGUGAAAUGCGCAGAUAUCGGGAGGAACACCGGUGGCGAAGGCGGUUCUCUGGGCCUUACCUGACGCUGAGGAGCGAAAGCGUGGGGAGCGAACAGGA
Molecule: ribosomal RNA, 254 nt
Filed under: uncultured bacterium
Lineage: Bacteria
Description: partial 16S ribosomal RNA
Rfam family: Bacterial small subunit ribosomal RNA
Source: RNAcentral